AUUGAACGCGGGCGGCAGGCUUAACACAUGCAAGUAGAACGAGUGGCGGACGGGUGAGUAGUGCUGGGAUAUAUGGCUACUGGAGGGGGAUAAAUGUGGAAAAAUGUGGCUAAUACCACGUACCAUUGGAUGAGCCGAAGUGGGAAUAGGUAGUUGGGGAGGUAAAGGCGCACCAAGCAGACAAUCCCUAGCUGGUCUGAGAGGAUGACCAGCCACACUGGGACUGAGACACGGCCCAGACUCCUACGGGAGGCAGCAGUGGGGAAUAUUGCGCAAUGGGGGCAACCUGACGCAGCCAUGCCGCGUGAAUGAAGAAGGCCUUCGGGUUGUAAAGUUCUUUCGGUAGCGAGGCGUUAACUACAGAAGAAGCACCGGCUAACUCCGUGCCAGCAGCCGCGGUAAUUC
RNAcentral lists this ribosomal RNA (405 nucleotides) under uncultured bacterium. RNAcentral's name for it is "partial 16S ribosomal RNA". It matches the Rfam family "Bacterial small subunit ribosomal RNA", at positions 30 to 526 of the family's 1533-position model. The record is from RNAcentral.